UACUACUUUCCUCCACUCCAACGCUCCCAUUCUCUCCAAUCUGAAACAAGAAUCCGUAGUAAAACCGAAUCAUUCACACAGGAGGUAAAACUUACGUAGAGGAAGAAGGGCCAAAGAGGGGAUUCUCUCUAAGGGGCUGAAAAGAGAAUCUUCCGAGGAAUCUAGCGACACAAGCUUUGUUUGGUCCGAUGAUCUUCUUGGGACAGUCGUUGACGAACAUAACGGCGAUAAA
Long non-coding RNA from Brassica oleracea var. oleracea, 232 nucleotides. RefSeq lists it as uncharacterized. The record is from RefSeq and is a predicted model, not a curated record. The transcript is spliced from 2 exons. NCBI's taxonomy places the organism in Eukaryota, Viridiplantae, Streptophyta, Magnoliopsida, Brassicales, Brassicaceae.